Molecule: long non-coding RNA, 693 nt
Filed under: Vigna radiata
Lineage: Eukaryota; Viridiplantae; Streptophyta; Magnoliopsida; Fabales; Fabaceae
Description: long non-coding RNA (VRAD_LNC008539)
Source: RNAcentral
GAGAUAAGGCCAAUUCAUAGUAUAUAAGUGGGUGCAAACAUCACCUUAUAAGUCGGUUUUGUGCAAAUUCCGUUAAGAUGAACGACGGUUGGAAAGGGCUACUCAUGGUUGUGGUUGGUUGAAAAUGCUUCCGCUGGAGGGGGAGUGUACCAAGGGACUCACCCCUGAGGGGAAGAUUGUUGGGAACCCAAGUAUGAGUCUAAGUCCCACAUUGAAUAGAAAUGAGAAAGUAGAGGACCUUAUAAAGAUGAAAGACCCAUUGCCUUAAGAUUUUGGGUAGAGAAUGGUGUCAAUCCCUUAUAUGGUUGGGCUCAGAUCUCAAUGUUGUUUGUGUCUCCCAAUUGAACCUCCUCCUCGAUAGAUCCAACAAUAACAACCUGAAUUCUUCAAAGGAAGACCAUAUAGACACAUAGUAUCCAAUUUUCUCCAUCGCCCAUCGAAAAAGGUGAAACUUACACACAUCCUGAAGCUCAUUCAAAUUUGACAACCUUAACUCUAAAGGGAAAAAGUUUAAUAUGUAAGAGGGUAAAGAAGAAGUGAGACCUUCAUUGAAAGACAUUGUGUGUAUUUGACAAGGGGACUUCAUUUCCAGCUAGUGACUCCAAACCGAAUUACUUUCUUCUACCUUAGAAACAUUCAUAGCUUCAAAAUUGGAAAAUGACGACGGAGGUCUCCUUGGAUUUGACUUGCAGA